CUUCCCCUGGCAAGGCACGUGAUUAUUAUCAACAAGAUGUCGAAGGUGACGGUGCAUAUUGAGUACUGUGGCGGAUGAGGUUAUGGACCUCGGUAUCGGGAGCUCAAGGAAUGGCUUAGCUCUCGUACCGAGGCGGAGAUCACUGGAGCGGUUGGACGCCAAUCUUCAUUUGAAGUGACGGUUAAUAACAAGCUUGUGUUCUCCAAGUUACAACUGGCUGGAUUCCCCGAUCAGGAGGAUGUCCUCAGGGCAAUCAAGGAAGCAGAACAGGGCCUGGAGCCGAAGACAAUCACAGACUCCAAGAGCCCUGGCUGCAUCAUUAUGUAGAUUCUCACACAACGUCCUUCAGCACUGAAGCUCUGUAUCUACGUUGGAGUUGCCACCCCAAUGAUGGCCUGUGCUGAAACUCUGUGCAUGGGCCGGAAGUCUGGCGGGGCUCUAACCGAGGAACAGACCACUAAGUGAUGAUGGGACUUCUUGGGGUGCCCUCUCUGUCCAACUGAGAUUUUGUUCUAAAGAUUUAGUGCUCAUUUCACAAGCUGUGUCAUCUGCUGAAGUGAUUCUUUUGAAUCAAUGAUCUUCUACAAAACAUGUGUCCAGUUAUACACAUGUACAUGGACAAGUGAUUCAUGAGAAAAAAUAUCUUGGUUUUCUUAUAUAUUAAAUUAAUACAUUCACUCAUUCCUCUGAUGAAUUUGUUCACAUCUUUUAUUUCCAAUAAAUAACCCAUUCAUAUUAAGAUAUUAUGUUCACAUCACAUGUUGUGAUGAAUUUGAUAUUCUGGCUCACUUCCUUUUGACAUGUUGUGUCAUCUGCUCACAGUACUUGCCAGUUGAACUGAUGUUGAAAUCAUAGGCAGCAAACUUUUGGCUUAUUUUGUGAUAUUUUGCAUGUUAUUUAUUGGAUUUGAAGUAUAAGUAUUAAAGUGUUUACCCAUCCAA
Haliotis rubra (blacklip abalone) is the source of this 941-nucleotide long non-coding RNA. RefSeq lists it as uncharacterized. Lineage: Eukaryota; Metazoa; Mollusca; Gastropoda; Lepetellida; Haliotidae. The record is from RefSeq and is a predicted model, not a curated record. The transcript is spliced from 4 exons.